This 117-nucleotide non-coding RNA is filed under the name Gorilla gorilla gorilla (western lowland gorilla). The record is from Rfam by way of RNAcentral. Lineage: Eukaryota; Metazoa; Chordata; Mammalia; Primates; Hominidae.
GCUGGGUGCAGUGGCUUACGCCUGUAAUCCCAGCACUUUGGGAGGCUGAGGUGGGAGGAUCACCUGAGGUCAGGAGUUCAAGACCAGCCUGGCCAACAUGGUGAAACCCCGUCUCUA